GUUCUCGGAGUGUGCCGGACAGCACGCGACUCUGCGAAGGUCGAAGACCAGGUUCGAUUCCUGGCGAGAGCAC
Molecule: transfer RNA, 73 nt
Filed under: Stieleria magnilauensis
Lineage: Bacteria; Pseudomonadati; Planctomycetota; Planctomycetia; Pirellulales; Pirellulaceae
Description: Planctomycetes bacterium TBK1r tRNA-Arg
Rfam family: tRNA
About the family: Transfer RNA (tRNA) molecules are approximately 80 nucleotides in length.
Source: RNAcentral